UAGGGAAUCUUCCGCAAUGGGCGAAAGCUUGACGGAGCAACGCCGCGUGAGUGAAGAAGGAUUUCGGUUCGUAAAGCUCUGUUGUUAGGGAAGAAUGAUUGUGUAGUAACUAUACACAGUAGAGACGGUACCUAACCAGAAAGCCACGGCUAACUACGUGCCAGCAGCCGCGGUAAUACGUAGGUGGCAAGCGUUGUCCGGAAUUAUUGGGCGUAAAGCGCGCGCAGGUGGUUUAAUAAGUCUGAUGUGAAAGCCCACGGCUCAACCGUGGAGGGUCAUUGGAAACUGUUAAACUUGAGUGCAGGAGAGAAAAGUGGAAUUCCUAGUGUAGCGGUGAAAUGCGUAGAGAUUAGGAGGAACACCAGUGGCGAAGGCGGCUUUUUGGCCUGUAACUGACACUGAGGCGCGAAAGCGUGGGGAGCAAACAGGAUUAGAUACCCUGGUAGUCCACGCCGUAAACGAUGAGUGCUAAGUGUUGGUCUCAUAAGAGAUCAGUGCUGCAGCUAACGCAUUAAGCACUCCGCCUGGGGAGUACGACCGCAAGGUUG
RNAcentral lists this ribosomal RNA (548 nucleotides) under uncultured bacterium. RNAcentral's name for it is "bacterial SSU rRNA". It matches the Rfam family "Bacterial small subunit ribosomal RNA", at positions 355 to 896 of the family's 1533-position model. The record is from RNAcentral.